Molecule: long non-coding RNA, 1405 nt
Organism: Gadus macrocephalus (Pacific cod)
Lineage: Eukaryota; Metazoa; Chordata; Actinopteri; Gadiformes; Gadidae
Exons: 2
Source: RefSeq, a predicted model, not a curated record
GUAACUCCGCUUACACCCCAGUUACCAACAAGGAUCAGAUAUAACUACAACGUUAAGAUCAGGUAGGGACUCCAUAAUCUCCCCAAUUUUUUUUGAAUUAUGAAUAAAUGAAAAGGAGAUUUGUGAGAUCCUAGGCACUAGGCACUACUUUCCUUGCCAAGGCCAGUAGUAUCCUGGCAACACGAGCACGCUGCAGUCAACAUCGGCCUGCACGUGAUUUCAGAGAGGGCACUCAAUCCCAACCACACAAUUAUGUUAAUGUUUUUUGUGUUCAAGCCCCUCCUUCUUCCGAGUUCUCUGGAAUAAGGGUUGGAGAAGGAUAUAAUGGUUUUUCCGGGUGAUUCUACUUGCCAAAUGACACAUGCGUUUCUGUUGAAGUUUCCCUGGAAUUGCGCUCUUGCCUAGAGUGUAAUGAAAGAGCAACCGCCACUCUCUGCACAUGUUGUUGACUUUAAACUCAGGGUUGGUUUAAGUCUGUUUAGGACAAUGUUCUCAUUUCUAAGAAGGGCUAUUUAUGGCAGUUUAUAUAAUGAGUUUUUGUAUUCAUAGCAUGCGUUCACAUUCUAAGUACAGUCACCUCCUAAAGUAUUGGAAUGGCAAGGCCAAUUUCUUUGUUUUUGUUGUUCAAUAUAGACAUUUGAUUUUAAGAUCAAAAGAUGAGCAUGGGACAAGAGUUCUGAAUUUCUGCUUUUAUUUGCUGGUAUUUACAUUUAGAUGUAUUAAACAACAACAAGGAUAUAUCACUGUUUGUAUUAGACCACAGCAUUUUUAGGUGAGCAAAAGUAAAGGAACAUGUGACUGACAGGUGUUUCUUGUUGCCCAGGUGUUGCCUUUGAGGUUGAUUCAUCAAAGAUUAAAUAGCUCUGCAUGACUAGUCUAAGUUUACUGCCUUUUUUAAACCUGUAAAGCGUCCAUUUCUUGUUAAAGAUGGUAAAACAACAUGAAGACCAGAGAGCUGUAUGUAUGGAAGAAAAGGAAGCUAUUUUGAAGCUGAGAAAAUAAGGAAAAUCAAUCAGCAUUGGACAAGCAUUAGGCAUUGCAACCAGAACAAUUUGGAAUGUCCUGAAAAAGAAAGAAACUACUGGUGACCUGAGCAACAGACAUUGUAAAGGUCGGCCAAGGAAAACAACAGUAGUUGAUGACCGAAAAAUUGUGAGGGCUGUGAAGAAAACACCAAAAACAUCAGCAAAUGACAUCACAAACGACCUCCAGAGUGCUGGGGACAAUGAGCCAAAGCACACGGCCAACAAGAAGAAUGAGACCGUUUGAUGAUGUCCAAGGGUCGCAGGCUUGAGGCAGUUAUUGCAAGCAAGGGUUAUCCCACCAAAUAUUGAUGUUAUUUACCUUAAGAUUUUUUGUUCCUUUACUUUUGCUCACCUAAAAAUGCUGUGGUCUAAUACAAACA